AACCGACUAAUGUUGAAAAAUUAGCGGAUGACUUGUGGCUGGGGGUGAAAGGCCAAUCAAACCGGGAGAUAGCUGGUUCUCCCCGAAAGCUAUUUAGGUAGCGCCUCGUGAAUUCAUCUCCGGGGGUAGAGCACUGUUUCGGCAAGGGGGUCAUCCCGACUUACCAACCCGAUGCAAACUGCGAAUACCGGAGAAUGUUAUCACGGGAGACACACGGCGGGUGCUAACGUCCGUCGUGAAGAGGGAAACAACCCAGACCGCCAGCUAAGGUCCCAAAGUCAUGGUUAAGUGGGAAACGAUGUGGGAAGGCCCAGACAGCCAGGAUGUUGGCUUAGAAGCAGCCAUCAUUUAAAGAAAGCGUAAUAGCUCACUGGUCGAGUCGGCCUGCGCGGAAGAUGUAACGGGGCUAAACCAUGCACCGAAGCUGCGGCAGCGACACUAUGUGUUGUUGGGUAGGGGAGCGUUCUGUAAGCCUGUGAAGGUGUACUGUGAGGUAUGCUGGAGGUAUCAGAAGUGCGAAUGCUGACAUAAGUAACGAUAAAGCGGGUGAAAAGCCCGCUCGCCGGAAGACCAAGGGUUCCUGUCCAACGUUAAUCGGGGCAGGGUGAGUCGACCCCUAAGGCGAGGCCGAAAGGCGUAGUCGAUGGGAAACAGGUUAAUAUUCCUGUACUUGGUGUUACUGCGAAGGGGGGACGGAGAAGGCUAUGUUGGCCGGGCGACGGUUGUCCCGGUU
RNAcentral lists this ribosomal RNA (733 nucleotides) under Escherichia coli. RNAcentral describes it as "partial 23S ribosomal RNA". It matches the Rfam family "Bacterial large subunit ribosomal RNA", at positions 777 to 1512 of the family's 2925-position model. Lineage: Bacteria; Pseudomonadati; Pseudomonadota; Gammaproteobacteria; Enterobacterales; Enterobacteriaceae. The record is from RNAcentral.